Molecule: ribosomal RNA, 490 nt
Filed under: Tamias striatus (eastern chipmunk)
Lineage: Eukaryota; Metazoa; Chordata; Mammalia; Rodentia; Sciuridae
Description: partial 12S ribosomal RNA
Rfam family: Bacterial small subunit ribosomal RNA
Source: RNAcentral
UAAGACUAAAUCAAUACUAAGCUGUAAAAAGCCCUAGUAUAAAUAAAAUAAAACACGAAAGUAGUCUUAAAAUUUCUGAAUUCACGAUAGCUAAGACCCAAACUGGGAUUAGAUACCCCACUAUGCUUAGCCUUAAACACAAAUACUUAAUAAACAAGAGUAUUCGCCAGAGAACUACUAGCAACAGCCUAAAACUCAAAGGACUUGGCGGUACUUUACAUCCCUCUAGAGGAGCCUGUUCUAUAAUCGAUAAACCCCGAUAAACCUCACCACCUUUUGCAAUCUCAGUCUAUAUACCGCCAUCUUCAGCAAACCCUAACAAGGCCUCACAGUAAGCACAAGAAUUUUACAUUAAUACGUUAGGUCAAGGUGUAACCUAUAAGGUGGGAAGAAAUGGGCUACAUUUUCUAUUAACUAGAACACUUACGAUAACUUUCAUGAAACCUUGAAAGUCAAAGGCGGAUUUAGUAGUAAGUUAGGAAUAGAGAGC